UCUGUUUAAUUACAUAUUUUUUCAUCCUUUUUUUUUUUUUUCAGAGAGUUUCAAAGACUGUAGAUCUCAGAUUGAGAACUCCUGGUUGAAUGCUUUGGAGAAGAUCUGGGCUCCAUGCUUUGGAAGAGUUCAGAGUCUGGAAUCAAGAGGUGGACCCUUCUGAGAUCUCUUUAAUUUUUUCAUUGUCCUUGUGGAUGUGGGACAAGUCCCUCUUGAAUGGCAACGUCCAAGCUUCUUUGAUGGUGAACAGUUUUCUCCUCAGGGUGGAAGGAGGACUGUGCUGGCUGUGCUCCAGAUCUCUUACCAGUUUUUGUCUUUUUGAAAAUGGAGAGUCCCUACAAGAUUUUAAAUGAAGAAAGUCUUCCACUGCUGUAUAAAGAAAAAAAGAAAAAAAGAAAAAAACAGAAAAAUGUGAAAAGUGUGUAAGAAAGAGUGAGAACCUGUGCCUAGGCAACAGACAACAGGCAUGUAUCGAAGGGUGUACAUUGGAGGGGGAAUAAGCAUCUUCAAGUUUCAAAUAGCAGAUCGAGAGCAGUAGCAGAAAAGCCAUCAAAACCCAGAUGUUGAAGACUGUUUAAAGUGUGAACUUCAAACAAUCACAGAAAGACUUGAGGUUGUCUUUUAUUGCUUUUUAAUUCCCAGUAAAAGAAACUAAUCCACUUUGUUGUUGUUGUUUUUUUUUUCAACGUUUAUUUAUUUUUGGGACAGAGAGAGACAGAGCAUGAACGGGGGAGGGGCAGAGAGAGAGGGAGACACAGAAUCGGAAACAGGCUCCAGGCUCUGAGCCAUCAGCCCAGAGCCCGACGCGGGGCUGGAACUCACGGACCGCGAGAUCGUGACCCGGCUGAAGUCGGACGCUUAACCGACUGCGCCACCCCGGCGCCCCUAAUCCACUUUGUAUAUCCGUUCGUACGGUG
This 917-nucleotide long non-coding RNA is filed under the name Felis catus (domestic cat). Its description in RNAcentral is "lncRNA (ENSFCAG00000047987.1)". The record is from RNAcentral. Lineage: Eukaryota; Metazoa; Chordata; Mammalia; Carnivora; Felidae.